Molecule: ribosomal RNA, 602 nt
Filed under: Hydrogenophaga sp. AK32 11.1
Lineage: Bacteria; Pseudomonadati; Pseudomonadota; Betaproteobacteria; Burkholderiales; Comamonadaceae
Description: bacterial SSU rRNA
Rfam family: Bacterial small subunit ribosomal RNA
Source: RNAcentral
GACGAGUGGCGAACGGGUGAGUAAUGCAUCGGAACGUGCCCAGUCGUGGGGGAUAACGCAGCGAAAGCUGCGCUAAUACCGCAUACGAUCUGCGGAUGAAAGCGGGGGACCUUCGGGCCUCGCGCGAUUGGAGCGGCCGAUGUCAGAUUAGGUAGUUGGUGGGGUAAAGGCUCACCAAGCCGACGAUCUGUAGCUGGUCUGAGAGGACGACCAGCCACACUGGGACUGAGACACGGCCCAGACUCCUACGGGAGGCAGCAGUGGGGAAUUUUGGACAAUGGGGGCAACCCUGAUCCAGCAAUGCCGCGUGCAGGAAGAAGGCCUUCGGGUUGUAAACUGCUUUUGUACGGAACGAAAAGGCUCUGGUUAAUACCUGGGGCACAUGACGGUACCGUAAGAAUAAGCACCGGCUAACUACGUGCCAGCAGCCGCGGUAAUACGUAGGGUGCGAGCGUUAAUCGGAAUUACUGGGCGUAAAGCGUGCGCAGGCGGUGCUGUAAGACAGGCGUGAAAUCCCCGGGCUUAACCUGGGAAUGGCGCUUGUGACUGCAGUGCUGGAGUGUGGCAGAGGGGGAUGGAAUUCCGCGUGUAGCAGUGAAAUG